CAGUGGCAGCUGAGUUAGUAUUUGACAGCAUAAGACCACCACCCGACAAGAACGAAGAGG
RNAcentral lists this small RNA (60 nucleotides) under bovine gut metagenome. Its description in RNAcentral is "cow-rumen-1 RNA". It matches the Rfam family "cow-rumen-1 RNA". From Rfam's summary of the family: cow rumen metagenome. Environment (Cow rumen (57)) The record is from RNAcentral.